Molecule: transfer RNA, 71 nt
Filed under: Ictidomys tridecemlineatus (thirteen-lined ground squirrel)
Lineage: Eukaryota; Metazoa; Chordata; Mammalia; Rodentia; Sciuridae
Description: Spermophilus tridecemlineatus (thirteen-lined ground squirrel) tRNA
Source: Rfam by way of RNAcentral
GUGGCUGUAGCUCAGUGGUAGAGCGCUUGUCUAGCAUGUGUGAGGCACUGGGUUCAACCCUCAGCACCACA